This 67-nucleotide transfer RNA is filed under the name Traulia minuta. RNAcentral's name for it is "tRNA-Ala". Lineage: Eukaryota; Metazoa; Arthropoda; Insecta; Orthoptera; Acrididae. RNAcentral also lists the same sequence under 2 other names. The record is from RNAcentral.
AGGGUUAUAGUUAAUUAUAACAUUUGGGUUGCAUUCAAAAAGUAUUGAUAUCUAUCAAUUAACCUUG